GCCCGGCUGGCACAAUCGGUAGCGCGUGAGACUCUUAAUCUCAAGGUUGUGGGUUCGAGCCCCACGUCGGGCU
Transfer RNA from Ascochyta rabiei, 73 nucleotides. It matches the Rfam family "tRNA". Rfam says of the family: Transfer RNA (tRNA) molecules are approximately 80 nucleotides in length. Lineage: Eukaryota; Fungi; Ascomycota; Dothideomycetes; Pleosporales; Didymellaceae. The record is from Rfam.